CCUACGGGAGGCAGCAGUGGGGAAUUUUGGACAAUGGGCGCAAGCCUGAUCCAGCCAUGCCGCGUGCAGGAUGAAGGCCUUCGGGUUGUAAACUGCUUUUGUACGGAACGAAAAGACUCUGGUUAAUACCUGGGGUCCAUGACGGUACCGUAAGAAUAAGCACCGGCUAACUACGUGCCAGCAGCCGCGGUAAUACGUAGGGUGCGAGCGUUAAUCGGAAUUACUGGGCGUAAAGCGUGCGCAGGCGGUUAUAUAAGACAGAUGUGAAAUCCCCGGGCUCAACCUGGGAACUGCAUUUGUGACUGUAUAGCUAGAGUACGGCAGAGGGGGAUGGAAUUCCGCGUGUAGCAGUGAAAUGCGUAGAUAUGCGGAGGAACACCGAUGGCGAAGGCAAUCCCCUGGGCCUGUACUGACGCUCAUGCACGAAAGCGUGGGGAGCAAACAGGAUUAGAUACCCUGGUAGUCCACGCCCUAAACGAUGUCAACUGGUUGUUGGGUCUUCACUGACUCAAUAACGAAGCUAACGCGUGAAGUUGACCGCCUGGGGAGUACGGCCGCGAAGGUUGAAACGUUAGAAAUUGAAGUUGAGGAGAGAGACGAGCCAGGCGAGGAGAGGG
Molecule: ribosomal RNA, 617 nt
Filed under: uncultured bacterium
Lineage: Bacteria
Description: bacterial SSU rRNA
Rfam family: Bacterial small subunit ribosomal RNA
Source: RNAcentral